This 111-nucleotide small nuclear RNA is filed under the name Microcebus murinus (gray mouse lemur). The record is from RNAcentral. Lineage: Eukaryota; Metazoa; Chordata; Mammalia; Primates; Cheirogaleidae.
GUGUUCACUUUAGCAUCACAUUCACUAAACCUGGAACGAUACAGAGCAAGCAAGUUAGCACGGCCCCUGCACAAGGCUGACUCGCAGAUUCCUCAGAGAUUCCAUAUUUAA